CUCAGGGUAGCCCCCCUUAGACCAGGUUUCCCUGUAGGGCUGCUGAGGGGUCUGGGGGUCAGCUGGCUCUCAGAACUGAGCAAAAGGCAGUGCGUGACCUGGAAGCAGUUCUAAGGGCGAGCAAGAAGGGCAGGUGCACUCACUUGAUAUGCUGGAGCCUGUGGUUUCCAGACAGUGCCGUGGCAACGCAUAUCGCCCCGCCCAUCCCCAGGGAAGUCUCUUGAAGACUAAGUGGAGAAGAGAUGGAGACACACGGUGAGCCAUCAGGGCAGAAGGAAACACCCGGGGAAGCAAUACUGCAUUGUCUGGGGCAGUAACCCAGGCAGAUGUGUCUACAAGUGCCAUGGCAACGCCAGGUGGGAGUUGAUCCUGCAGACAGGUGUCUACAAGUGGCCAGAUUGUCCCACCCAAGUGCGAUGGAGGAUGUAAGACCAUAAAUGCAGAUGAGGAAGUAGCUACAGAGGAAAUCAGGAGCAUUUUAUCCCAUCGAGGAGGACCCAGCAGAGAACUCUGCUGCUCCAGGAUGCAGGCCCUGAGCGGCCAUCCAUGGAUGGCACCCAAGAUGGAACAGAGCUGCUUUGGAAAGGUCUCUAGCCAGCAGUGUGAGAGGAUGGACUGAGGUGGAGGCUGCCACAGGGAUGGAGGUGAGUAGUGCCGACGGCCUGGAUGGGGGCAGUGGACGCAAAGGAAAUCGAGUGGGUGGCAGGGACACAGAGGGGACUGACCCAACAGGACUUGAGAGUGAAUAAGAAGCAGGAGGUGGGCAGGCACAGUGGCUCACACCUGUAAUCCUAGGACUUUGGGAGGCCAAGGUGGGAGGAUCACUUGAGCCCAGGAGUUCAAGACCAGCCUGGGCAACAUAGU
Rhinopithecus roxellana (golden snub-nosed monkey) is the source of this 864-nucleotide long non-coding RNA. RefSeq lists it as uncharacterized. The record is from RefSeq and is a predicted model, not a curated record. The transcript is spliced from 3 exons. Lineage: Eukaryota; Metazoa; Chordata; Mammalia; Primates; Cercopithecidae.